GUCUCUUUGUAGAUUAUAAAUAGAGAGUUAGACCUGCUCGGUGAUGUAUUUAACAGCUGCGGUAUUUUAACUGUACUAAGGUAGCAUAAUAGUUUGCCUUAUAAAUUGAGGCUAGAAUGAAUGGUUUGACGAAGGUUAACCUGUCUCUAUAUUAUUUUUUAGAAAUUAAUUUUUAUAGUGAAAAAGCUUGGAUUUUUUAAAGGGACGAGAAGACCCUAAUGAGCUUUAAUUUUAAGUAUUAGGUAAGGUAAUACAUGAAUUUUAAUUGGGGUGAUUAAGGAAUAAUAUUUAAAAAGUAACUUCCUUAGCUUAAAUGUGUUUUUAUGAAGUAACCAAUGUAUAUUGCUUAUAAAAAAGUUACCAUAGGGAUAACAGCGUAAUUUGUUUAGAGAGUUCUUAUUAAAAAAUGAGAUUGCGACCUCGAUGUUGGAUUAAAAUAACCUUAAGGUGUAGAAGCUUUAUACGGUAAAUCUGUUCGAUUUUUAAUAUUUU
This 492-nucleotide ribosomal RNA is filed under the name Sepioloidea lineolata. Its description in RNAcentral is "partial 16S ribosomal RNA". It matches the Rfam family "Bacterial large subunit ribosomal RNA", at positions 1817 to 2597 of the family's 2925-position model. The record is from RNAcentral. Lineage: Eukaryota; Metazoa; Mollusca; Cephalopoda; Sepiida; Sepiadariidae.